GGCUAACGCUGGCGGCGUGUCUUAGCCAUGCAAGUCGAGCGGACUUAUGGGGUAACUUAUAAGUCAGCGGCGGACGGCGGAGUAACACGUAGCUAACCUACCCUCUGGACGGGGAUAACCUACCGAAAGGUGGGCUAAUACCCGAUGUAGUCAUCCUGUAUAGGGGUGAUGAAAGGUGGGCUUCUGUUUACAAGCUCAUGCUGGAGGAGGGGGCUGCGGCCUAUCAGGUAGUUGGUAGGGUAAUAGCCUACCAAGCCGAUGACGGGUAGCCGGCCUGAGAGGGUGACCGGCCCGAGGGGCACUGAGAUACGGGUCCCACUCCUACGGGAGGCAGCAGGCUAGGAAUUUGGGCAAUGGGGGAAACCCUGACCCAGUGACGCCGCGUGCAGGAAGGAGCCCUUCGGGGUGUAAACUGCUGUCGUGUAGGGAGAAGGGUACUAAGGUGAACAAUCUUAGUACUUGACGGUACUACAGGAGGAAGCCCAGGCUAACCUCGUG
RNAcentral lists this ribosomal RNA (498 nucleotides) under uncultured bacterium. RNAcentral describes it as "bacterial SSU rRNA". It matches the Rfam family "Bacterial small subunit ribosomal RNA", at positions 28 to 507 of the family's 1533-position model. The record is from RNAcentral.